CCCUACAUAGGUCCCACACCUCCGGCUCGCUCCAGUUAGAGUUGUAAAGGAGAUCUCACAAGCUGAAAAGGCCAAAUCAGGAAUAAAAACGUUACGCGAUUGAGCGGAUUAGCCUGAAAUCCUGGUUUCUUGUCGGUCAGAGUUAAACUCCCGUCGCCUCAACGGUAUUCGCCUGAAUGCAGGGUAUACUAUACCAAUGAGCUCAGCUUUUACAAACCAUGCUCGACAAUACCCCACAAAGGUCUGAUGCCGUCAUUUGCAGGGUCACAACCCUAAACCUCC
RNAcentral lists this long non-coding RNA (282 nucleotides) under Panax ginseng (ginseng). RNAcentral describes it as "long non-coding RNA (PGIN_LNC001482)". Lineage: Eukaryota; Viridiplantae; Streptophyta; Magnoliopsida; Apiales; Araliaceae. The record is from RNAcentral.